UUGGACAUAGAAGUGUGGCACCCGUGUCA
Molecule: non-coding RNA, 29 nt
Filed under: Mus musculus (house mouse)
Lineage: Eukaryota; Metazoa; Chordata; Mammalia; Rodentia; Muridae
Source: RNAcentral